GAAUUUUCCGCAAUGGGCGAAAGCCUGACGCAGCAACGCCGCGUGGAGGAUGAAGGCCUUCGGGUCGUAAACUCCUGUCAGUGGGGACGAAUGCUUCGCAAGAAGUUUGACUGUACCCGCUGAGGAAGCCACGGCUAACUCCGUGCCAGCAGCCGCGGUAAUACGGAGGUGGCAAGCGUUGUUCGGAAUUACUGGGCGUAAAGGGCGCGUAGGCGGCUUGGCAAGUCAGAUGUGAAAUCCCCGGGCUUAACUCGGGAAUUGCAUCUGAAACUGCUUUGCUUGAGUCCUGGAGGGGAUAGUGGAAUUCCCAGUGUAGCGGUGAAAUGCGUAGAUAUUGGGAGGAACACCUGUGGCGAAGGCGGCUAUCUGGACAGUGACUGACGCUGAGGCGCGAAAGCUAGGGGAGCGAAUGGGAUUAGAUACCCCAGUAGUC
This 433-nucleotide ribosomal RNA is filed under the name uncultured cyanobacterium. RNAcentral's name for it is "bacterial SSU rRNA". It matches the Rfam family "Bacterial small subunit ribosomal RNA", at positions 359 to 795 of the family's 1533-position model. The record is from RNAcentral. Lineage: Bacteria; Bacillati; Cyanobacteriota.